This 289-nucleotide ribosomal RNA is filed under the name uncultured bacterium. RNAcentral describes it as "partial 16S ribosomal RNA". It matches the Rfam family "Bacterial small subunit ribosomal RNA", at positions 334 to 639 of the family's 1533-position model. The record is from RNAcentral.
UCGCCCUACGGGGCGCAGCAGUGGGGGAUAUUGCACAAUGGGGGGGAACCCUGAUGCGGCGACGCCGCGUGGGUGAAGAAGCGCCUCGGCGCGUAAAGCCCUGUCAGCAGGGAAGAAAAUGACGGUAACUGAAGAAGAAGCCCCGGCUAACUACGUGCCAGCAGCCGCGGUAAUACGUAGGGGGCAAGCGUUAUCCGGAUUUACUGGGUGUAAAGGGGGCGCAGACGGCGAUGCAAGCCAGGAGUGAAAGCACGGGGCCCAACCCCGGGACUGCUCUUGGAACUGCGUG